GUGCUCGCUUCAGCAACACAUAUACUAAAAUUGGAACAAUACAGAGAAGAUUAGCCUGGCCCCUGUGCAAGGAUGACACGCAAAUUCAUGAAGCAUUCCUAAUUUUU
Small nuclear RNA from Balaenoptera musculus (blue whale), 107 nucleotides. Lineage: Eukaryota; Metazoa; Chordata; Mammalia; Artiodactyla; Balaenopteridae. The record is from Ensembl.